UACGUAGGGUGCAAGCGUUGUUCGGAAUCAUUGGGCGUAAAGCGCGUGUAGGUGGUUAGGUAAGUCGGAUGUGAAAUCCCUGGGCUCAACCGAGGAAGUGCACCCGAAACUACUUAGCUAGAGGACGGUAGAGGAAGGUGGAAUUCCAAGUGUAGAGGUGAAAUUCGUAGAUAUCUGGAGGAACACCGGUGGCGAAGGCGGCCUUCUGGGCCGUUCCUGACACUGAGACGCGAAAGCGUGGGUAGCAAACAGG
This 253-nucleotide ribosomal RNA is filed under the name uncultured bacterium. RNAcentral describes it as "partial 16S ribosomal RNA". It matches the Rfam family "Bacterial small subunit ribosomal RNA", at positions 524 to 776 of the family's 1533-position model. The record is from RNAcentral.